Molecule: ribosomal RNA, 393 nt
Filed under: uncultured bacterium
Lineage: Bacteria
Description: bacterial SSU rRNA
Rfam family: Bacterial small subunit ribosomal RNA
Source: RNAcentral
AACGAACGCUGGCGGCAGGCUUCAUACAUGCAAGUCGAACGAUUAAGGCCCUUUCGGGGGCGUAUACAGUGGCGAACGGGUGAGUAACAGGUGGAUAACCUGCCCUGAAGUGGGGGACAACAGCUGGAAACGGCUGCUAAUACCGCAUGUGGUUGUUUCUCUUCGGAGGAGCAAAAGAAAGGCGCGUUUGCGCCGCUUCAGGAUGGAUCCGCCUCCCAUUAGCUAGUUGGUGAGAUAACAGCCCACCAAGGCAACGAUGGGUAGCCGGACUGAGAGGUUGACCGGCCACACUGGGACUGAGACACGGCCCAGACACCUACGGGUGCAGCAGUAGGGAAUAUUGGACAAUGGGCGCAAGCCUGAUCCAGCCAUGCCGCGUGAACGACGAAGGCC